AUGUCUGACUUGGACUUGGUUGCUUACAUAAACGAGGAGAACAAAAGAAGAAAGAGGAGGCGAAUAGUUUUGACCAAACUAUACUUUGAAUCGUUUCUUCUUGGGAUAGCAUAUCUUAGUACGCAGAGGGCACCAAGGGAUUUAGGAAGCUUUAUUGACGAUGAGGAAAAAAACAUUCAUCGGAAGUAUUUGCUAAAAGGAUUGUAUGAUGGGGCAGAAGUAACAUGCUAUGAUCGGCUACGUUUAACUAAAAGAAACUUCCAUGACUUAUGCACCAUGUUGCGUGAGAGAGCUGGUCUUUGUGACAGUGUCUAUGUUUCCGUGGAAGAAAACGUGGCAAUGUUCUUGUUGGUAGUUGGCCAUGGUAUCAAAAUGAGGAUUCUGGGUGGCACUUACAAGCGCUCCUUAUGGACUAUUAGUACACACUUUGACGAUGUAUUAAAAGCGAUUCUAUCUCUAACCGGGGAGUUCAUUAAGCUUCCCGGUCCUUCUACUCAGCCACCUGAUGAUUACAAAUGGAAGUAGUUUGGUAAUGCACUUGGAGCGCUCGAUGGGUGUCAUGUUGAUAUUUGUGUACCUGUGUGUGACCAAGGGAGAUAUAGGAACAGGAAGCAAGCUAUCACCACUAACUUGCUUGGUGUGGUUGAUUGGAAUAUGAAAUUUAUGUAUGUCUUGCCUGGCUGGGAGGGUUCAGCUUCUGACUCAAGAGUCUUGCGUGAUGCAAUGAGGUUGAGCCGCCAAGAUGCAUUUGUCGUACCACAUGGUAUGACACUUUCUCUUGGUAAUUCAUUUCUCCUAUGUAAUUGA
RNAcentral lists this ribosomal RNA (807 nucleotides) under Triticum aestivum (bread wheat). RNAcentral describes it as "partial small subunit ribosomal RNA". Lineage: Eukaryota; Viridiplantae; Streptophyta; Magnoliopsida; Poales; Poaceae. The record is from RNAcentral.